UUCCGUGCCGCAGUUAACGCAUUAAGUGCCCCGCCUGGGGAGUACGACCGCAAGGUUGAAACUCAAAGGAAUUGACGGGGGCCCGCACAAGCGGUGGAGCAUGUGGUUUAAUUCGAUGCAACGCGAAGAACCUUACCCAGGCUUGACAUGCACUGGACCGGUGUGGAAACACACCUUCUCCGCAAGGGGCCGGUGCACAGGUGCUGCAUGGCUGUCGUCAGCUCGUGUCGUGAGAUGUUGGGUUAAGUCCCGCAACGAGCGCAACCCUUGCCUCUAGUUGCUAGCAAGUAAAGUUGAGCACUCUAGAGGGACUGCCGUCGAUAGGACGGAGGAAGGUGGGGAUGACGUCAAGUCCUCAUGGUCCUUACGCCUGGGGCUACACACGUGCUACAAUGGCCGGUACAAAGGGUUGCAAAGCCGCGAGGUUGAGCCAAUCCCAAAAAACCGGUCUCAGUUCGGAUUGCAGUCUGCAACUCGGCUGCAUGAAGUUGGAAUCGCUAGUAAUCGCUGAUCAGCAGGCAGCGGUGAAUAUGUUCCCGGGCCUUGUACACACCGCCCGUCAAGCCACGAAAGCUGGUAGUACCCGACGUCGCUGUCCUAACCGCAAGGAGGGAGGCGCCUAAGGUAAGAUCGGUGAUUGGGGCUAAGUCGUAACAAGGUAACC
Molecule: ribosomal RNA, 664 nt
Filed under: uncultured bacterium
Lineage: Bacteria
Description: bacterial SSU rRNA
Rfam family: Bacterial small subunit ribosomal RNA
Source: RNAcentral